This 483-nucleotide ribosomal RNA is filed under the name uncultured bacterium. RNAcentral's name for it is "partial 16S ribosomal RNA". It matches the Rfam family "Bacterial small subunit ribosomal RNA", at positions 30 to 507 of the family's 1533-position model. The record is from RNAcentral.
AUUGAACGCUGGCGGCAGGCCUAACACAUGCAAGUCGAGCGGAUGAAGGGAGCUUGCUCCUGGAUUCAGCGGCGGACGGGUGAGUAAUGCCUAGGAAUCUGCCUGGUAGUGGGGGUAACCGUCGGGAACCGGCCGCUAAUCCCGCAUCGGCCUGGGGGGGGAAGGGGGGGGAUCUUGGGACUCAACGCAACAAGAUGGGCUAGGUCGGAUUAGCUAGUUGGUGGGGUAAAGGCCUACCAAGGCGACGAUCCGUAACUGGUCUGAGAGGAUGAUCAGUCACACUGGAACUGAGACACGGUCCAGACUCCUACGGGAGGCAGCAGUGGGGAAUAUUGGACAAUGGGCGAAAGCCUGAUCCAGCCAUGCCGCGUGUGUGAAGAAGGUCUUCGGAUUGUAAAGCACUUUAAGUUGGGAGGAAGGGCAGUAAGUUAAUACCUUGCUGUUUUGACGUUACCAACAGAAUAAGCACCGGCUAACUUCGUG